Molecule: long non-coding RNA, 222 nt
Filed under: Nicotiana benthamiana
Lineage: Eukaryota; Viridiplantae; Streptophyta; Magnoliopsida; Solanales; Solanaceae
Description: long non-coding RNA (NBEN_LNC015336)
Source: RNAcentral
UCUUCCGCAUAUACGACCUCGCACAUGCGGUCCCCCAUCCGCAUGAGCGAAUCACUAAGACAUGCACCAGCAUCGCAAAAGCGACAAAACUCACGCAUAAGUAGAGCCACACCUGCGCUACUAAAUGCGCAGGUGUUAGGAGCGCGGGUGUUAGGAGCGUAGGUGCGAAACACCAGAACCAGAUCUGCCCAAACCAUGAAUGAUAUGAUAUGGACUAUAAAU